CCUACGGGAGGCAGCAGUUAGGAAUUUUCCACAAUGGGCGAAAGCCUGAUGGAGCAACGCCGCGUGCAGGACGAAGGCCUUCGGGUUGUAAACUGCUUUUAUACGUGAAUCGGUAGCGUAUGAAUAAGGAUCGGCUAACUCCGUGCCAGCAGCCGCGGUCAUACGGAGGAUCCAAGCGUUAUCCGGAUUUACUGGGCGUAAAGAGUGCGUAGGUGGUAAUUUAAGCGAAUAGUGAAAUCUUGUGGCUCAACCAUAAGGCUAUUAUUCGAACUGAAUUACUCGAGAACGAGAGAGGUCACUGGAAUUCCUUGUGUAGGAGUGAAAUCCGUAGAUAUAAGGAGGAACACCAAUGGCGUAGGCAGGUGACUGGCUCGUCUGACACUGAGGCACGAAAGCGUGGGGAGCGAACGGGAUUAGAUACCCUUGUAGUC
Molecule: ribosomal RNA, 431 nt
Filed under: uncultured bacterium
Lineage: Bacteria
Description: partial 16S ribosomal RNA
Rfam family: Bacterial small subunit ribosomal RNA
Source: RNAcentral